AGUGAACGCUGGCGGUAGGCCUAACACAUGCAAGUCGAACGGCAGCACAGUAUGAGCUUGCUCUUACGGGUGGCGAGUGGCGGACGGGUGAGGAAUACAUCGGAAUCUACUUUUUCGUGGGGGAUAACGUAGGGAAACUUACGCUAAUACCGCAUACGACCUACGGGUGAAAGCAGGGGAUCUUCGGACCUUGCGCGAUUGAAUGAGCCGAUGUCGGAUUAGCUAGUUGGCGGGGUAAAGGCCCACCAAGGCGACGAUCCGUAGCUGGUCUGAGAGGAUGAUCAGCCACACUGGAACUGAGACACGGUCCAGACUCCUACGGGAGGCAGCAGUGGGGAAUAUUGGACAAAGGGCGCAAGCCUGAUCCAGCCAUACCGCGUGGGUGAAGAAGGCCUUCGGGUUGUAAAGCCCUUUUGUUGGGAAAGAAAAGCAGCAGGUUAAUACCCCGCUGUUCUGACGGUACCCAAAGAAUAAGCACCGGCUAACUUCGUG
This 492-nucleotide ribosomal RNA is filed under the name uncultured bacterium. Its description in RNAcentral is "partial 16S ribosomal RNA". It matches the Rfam family "Bacterial small subunit ribosomal RNA", at positions 29 to 507 of the family's 1533-position model. The record is from RNAcentral.